This 750-nucleotide ribosomal RNA is filed under the name uncultured Bacteroidota bacterium. Its description in RNAcentral is "bacterial SSU rRNA". It matches the Rfam family "Bacterial small subunit ribosomal RNA", at positions 96 to 847 of the family's 1533-position model. Lineage: Bacteria; Pseudomonadati; Bacteroidota. The record is from RNAcentral.
CGGCAAACGGGUGAGGAACACGUACGCAACCUUCCUUUAACUGGAGAAUAGCCCCUCGAAAGAGGGAUUAAUACUCCGUAACAUAUACAUGUGGCAUCACAAGUAUAUUAUAGCUCCGGCGGUUAAAGAUGGGCGUGCGCCUGAUUAGAUAGUUGGCGGGGUAACGGCCCACCAAGUCUGCGAUCAGUAACUGGUGUGAGAGCACGACCAGUCACACGGGCACUGAGACACGGGCCCGACUCCUACGGGAGGCAGCAGUAAGGAAUAUUGGUCAAUGGACGCAAGUCUGAACCAGCCAUGCCGCGUGGAGGAUUAAGGCCCUCUGGGUUGUAAACUCCUUUUAUCUGGGAAGAAAUGCAUUUUUUCUAAAGUGCUUGACGGUACCAGAGGAAUAAGCACCGGCUAACUCCGUGCCAGCAGCCGCGGUAAUACGGAGGGUGCAAGCGUUAUCCGGAUUCACUGGGUUUAAAGGGUGCGUAGGCGGGCAGGUAAGUCCGUGGUGAAAUCUCUGAGCUUAACUCAGAAACUGCCAUGGAUACUAUUUGUCUUGAAUAUUGUGGAGGUAAGCGGAAUAUGUCAUGUAGCGGUGAAAUGCUUAGAUAUGACAUAGAACACCAAUUGCGAAGGCAGCUUACUACACAGUUAUUGACGCUGAGGCACGAAAGCGUGGGGAUCAAACAGGAUUAGAUACCCUGGUAGUCCACGCCCUAAACGAUGAUUACUCGACAUCAGCGAUACACUGUUGGUGUC